This 506-nucleotide ribosomal RNA is filed under the name uncultured bacterium. RNAcentral describes it as "partial 16S ribosomal RNA". It matches the Rfam family "Bacterial small subunit ribosomal RNA", at positions 29 to 523 of the family's 1533-position model. The record is from RNAcentral.
AUUGAGCGCUGGCGGCUGGCCUAACACAUGCAAGUCGAACGGCAGCACAGAAGAGCUUGCUCUUUGGGUGGCGAGUGGCGGACGGGUGAGUAAUGUCUGGGAAACUGCCCGAUGGAGGGGGAUAACUACUGGAAACGGUAGCUAAUACCGCAUAACGUCGCAAGACCAAAGUGGGGGACCUUCGGGCCUCACACCAUCGGAUGUGCCCAGAUGGGAUUAGCUAGUAGGUGGGGUAAUGGCUCACCUAGGCGACGAUCCCUAGCUGGUCUGAGAGGAGGACCAGCCACACUGGAACUGAGGAACGGUCCAGACUCCUACGGGAGGCAGCAGUGGGGAAUAUUGCACAAUGGGCGCAGGCCUGAUGCAGCCAUGCCGCGUGUAUGAAGAAGGCCUUCGGGUUGUAAAGUACUUUCAGCGGGGAGGAAGGCGGUGAGGUUAAUAACCUUGCCGAUUGACGUUACCCGCAGAAGAAGCACCGGCUAACUCCGUGCCAGCCGCCGCAGUAA